AGUGAACGCUGGCGGUAGGCCUAACACAUGCAAGUCGAACGGCAGCACAGUAAGAGCUUGCUCUUACGGGUGGCGAGUGGCGGACGGGUGAGGAAUACAUCGGAAUCUACUUUUUCGUGGGGGAUAACGUAGGGAAACUUACGCUAAUACCGCAUACGACCUACGGGUGAAAACAGGGGAUCUUCGGACCUUGCGCGAUUGAAUGAGCCGAUGUCGGAUUAGCUAGUUGGCGGGGUAAAGGCCCACCAAGGCGACGAUCCUUAGCUGGUCUGAGAGGAUGAUCAGCCACACUGGAACUGAGACACGGUCCAGACUCCUACGGGAGGCAGCAGUGGGGAAUAUUGGACAAUGGGCGCAAGCCUGAUCCAGCCAUACCGCGUGGGUGAAGAAGGCCUUCGGGUUGUAAAGCCCUUUUGUUGGGAAAGAAAAGCAGCAGGUUAAUACCCCGCUGUUCUGACGGUACCCAAAGAAUAAGCACCGGCUAACUUCGUG
RNAcentral lists this ribosomal RNA (492 nucleotides) under uncultured bacterium. RNAcentral describes it as "partial 16S ribosomal RNA". It matches the Rfam family "Bacterial small subunit ribosomal RNA", at positions 29 to 507 of the family's 1533-position model. The record is from RNAcentral.